RNAcentral lists this non-coding RNA (788 nucleotides) under Anisopteromalus calandrae. Lineage: Eukaryota; Metazoa; Arthropoda; Insecta; Hymenoptera; Pteromalidae. The record is from RNAcentral.
AAUAAAUUGAAAUUUAGUUUAUGAAUUAAUUAUUUUAUUUAUAUAUAUAUAAUUUUAAAAGGAUACAUAAAUUUUUAAUAAAUUUAAAUAAUGAAUAAUAUAAAAAUUUAAUAAAAAUAAUAAAUUAUUAUUUAGAAAUUAAAUUAAAUAUAGGUUUAUUUUGUGCCAGCAUCAGCGGUUAUACAAAAUAUAUAAAUUAAUUUUAUUAAUUAUUAUUUAAAGAAUAGAGUUAUAACAUGAAAUAUUAUUAUAUGAUUAAAUAAUAAUAAUAUAAGAUUUUAUAAAUUAAUAUUUGAAGAUAAAAAAUUAAUUAUAAUAAACUAGGAUUAGAUACCCUACUAUAGUUAAUAAAAUUUAAUAAUUAGUUAGUAAAAUAUAAUUUAAUUAUUUAUAAUUAUAAAUUAUUUGAAAUUUAAAAAUUAUGACGGUAUUUUAAUCUAUUUAGAGGAACUUGUAAUAUGAUUGAUAAUCCACGAUUGGAUAGAUAAUUUAAAUAAAAUUUUUGUAUGUUCGUUAUAAAAAAUUUUAAUAAUAAUUUAAUUAAAUUUUUAAUAAUAUAAUAAUAUUUUAUUUCAGAUCAAUAUGAAAUUUAAAUUAAAUAUAUGAGUUACAUUUUAUUAUAUAAGUGAAUAAUUAAUUUAAAUAUUAAUUUUAAAAUGGAUUUAAUAAUAAAAUAUACAAAUUAGUAUAUUUGAAUUUAGUUUUAAAAUAUGUACAAAUUGCCCGUCGCUCCUAUUUAGGAUAAGUCGUAACAAAGUAAGUAUACUGGAAAGUGUACUUAGAAGAAA